Molecule: ribosomal RNA, 276 nt
Filed under: Triticum aestivum (bread wheat)
Lineage: Eukaryota; Viridiplantae; Streptophyta; Magnoliopsida; Poales; Poaceae
Description: partial small subunit ribosomal RNA
Source: RNAcentral
AUGAAUUGUAUAAGUUGGAACUGUCGGGGGCUGGCCAACAAACCGAUAGUUCGCGACUUAGUUGGCAUGGUGAGAAGUACAAAAGCGAAACUAAUGUUCUUGUGUGAAACUAGACAGAGCUCGGAAAAAGUAAAACGGUUGCGUGGUAGAUUAGGCUUGAGAGGUUUCUCAGGAGUUAGUAGUGAUGGUUUGAGUGGAGGCCUUGCCCUCUUUUGGUGUGAAAGUCUGCAUGUACAGAUUCAGUCAGCUAAUGAGAGAUUUUUGAUGCGUAUGUGA